GACGAACGCUGGCGGUGUGCUUAACACAUGCAAGUCGAACGGUAAGGCCCUUUCGGGGGUACACGAGUGGCGAACGGGUGAGUAACACGUGAGUAACCUGCCCUCAUCUCUGGGAUAACAGUCGGAAACGGUUGCUAAUACUGGAUAUGAGCCUGCAAGGCAUCUUGUGGGUUGGAAAGAUUUUUUGGUUGGGGAUGGACUCGCGGCCUAUCAGCUUGUUGGUGGGGUAGUGGCUCACCAAGGCUUCGACGGGUAGCCGGCCUGGGAGGGCGACCGGCCACAUUGGGACUGAGAUACGGCCCAAGAUCCUACGGGGGGCAGGAGGGGGGAAUAUUGCAAAAUGGACGGGAGGCUGAUGGAAGAACGCCGGGGGGGGGAUGACGGCCUUCGGGUUGUAAACCGGUUUCAAUUGGGAAGGAGCUUUUUGUGGCGGUAGCAGGAAAAGAAGCACCGGCUAACUACGUG
This 465-nucleotide ribosomal RNA is filed under the name uncultured bacterium. RNAcentral describes it as "partial 16S ribosomal RNA". It matches the Rfam family "Bacterial small subunit ribosomal RNA", at positions 28 to 507 of the family's 1533-position model. The record is from RNAcentral.